GACACGAUGGCCGAGUGGUUAAGGCGAUUGACUAGAAAUCAAUUGGGGUCCCCCCGCGCAGGUUCGAAUCCUGCUCGUGUCG
This 82-nucleotide transfer RNA is filed under the name Blyttiomyces helicus. It matches the Rfam family "tRNA". Rfam says of the family: Transfer RNA (tRNA) molecules are approximately 80 nucleotides in length. Their secondary structure includes four short double-helical elements and three loops (D, anti-codon, and T loops). Further hydrogen bonds mediate the characteristic L-shaped molecular structure. tRNAs have two regions of fundamental functional importance: the anti-codon, which is responsible for specific mRNA codon recognition, and the 3' end, to which the tRNAs corresponding amino acid is attached (by aminoacyl-tRNA synthetases). tRNAs cope with the degeneracy of the genetic code in two manners: having more than one tRNA (with a specific anti-codon) for a particular amino acid; and 'wobble' base-pairing, i.e. permitting non-standard base-pairing at the 3rd anti-codon position. Lineage: Eukaryota; Fungi; Chytridiomycota; Chytridiomycetes. The record is from Rfam by way of RNAcentral.